Molecule: RNA transcript, 1279 nt
Organism: Cyprinodon tularosa
Lineage: Eukaryota; Metazoa; Chordata; Actinopteri; Cyprinodontiformes; Cyprinodontidae
Gene: tspan11
Gene name: tetraspanin 11
Exons: 9
Source: RefSeq, a predicted model, not a curated record
UGCGUUAUAUCCGCAGCUGCGUCUGUCAGCCGCAUAGUAAUCAAAAUUACAAGCUGCACUAGAACGCACCACCAUAGCAAACAGUGGAUCUCCCUGGAGCAACAAGCCUGAGCGGACAAAACGCCCAUUUCUGCAGCGGCGUCCUCUGUGCUCCGAAGGGAACAGCAAGAACUUUAAAGCUCUUUUUCUAGCACUAAAACUGCUGAACUACAGCUAAGACGAUGUCAGCGACUUAUAAGGAUGACGGGGAAGACUGGUUGACUGUUUGCCUCAAGUACCUACUCUUUGUCUUCAAUUUUCUAUUUUGGGUGGGUGGAGCUGCAGUCUUGGGUGUAGGAGUGUGGACAGUGGUGGAGAAGAGCGACUACUUGAGUCUUUUGGCCUCCAGCACUUUUGCUAUCUCAGCUUAUAUCCUGAUCCUGGCUGGAAGCCUGGUGGUUGUCACUGGCUUCUUGGGCUGCUGUGCUGUUAUCCGGGAACAGAGAAGCUGUCUUUCUACGUAUUUCUUCUUCCUGCUGUUAAUUUUCUUGAUUGAACUGGUUGCUGGAGUGCUGGCCUAUGUUUACUACCAGAGGCUCAGUGAUGAACUGAAGGAGCACCUCAACCAGACUAUGACUGAGAAUUAUGCUCAGCAGGGGAAGGAGACAAUCACUUCUGCAGUCGACAGACUGCAACAAGAUUUCAAGUGCUGCGGAAGCAACAACUCCCAGGAUUGGAUGCUGAGCGCAUACAUUAAGUCAGAACAAUCAGGAAACCGGGUGGUGCCUGACAGCUGCUGCAAAACCGUUACCCCCAACUGUGGCAGGAGGGACCACCCUUCCAACAUCUAUAAAGUGGAGGGUGGAUGCAUCUUUAAGCUGGAGCAGUUUCUUGCAGACCAUCUAUUGGUUAUUGGUGCUGUUGGAAUUGGAGUGGCCUGUCUUCAGCUGGCCGGAGCACUCUUGACAGCCUGCUUUAUCUAUCUGCUCUAUAAGGAGGAGGAGGAGGACUUUGGUGCAUUGUAAUUUGGCUCCAGAGCUCUUUGGUGCUUUUAAUCAAAUGGAUAGACAAGGAUGGAAGAUCUGUGGGAUGGUGUUCACCUGCUGCCUGCACAGGAGGAUCAAGAUGGAUCCUUACUAGGCACACAAGACCCCAACAAACCACCAGUAAAAUGAAGAUGUAGUAAAGCCUGCUGACGCCCAACUUUCACGUCUGGAUCUGAAGUCUAAUCAGAGAAUAAAAAUGAAGUUCACUUUAUCAGAAACCAAUUCAGCCAUUGAGUGGCCCGGCACAAAGAAAA